GCAGGAAUGGCGGAAUUGGCAGACGCGCACGGUUCAGGUCCGUGUGAAAGCAAUUUCAUGGGGGUUCAAGUCCCCCUUCCUGCA
This 84-nucleotide transfer RNA is filed under the name Lachnospiraceae bacterium. RNAcentral describes it as "tRNA-Leu". It matches the Rfam family "tRNA". From Rfam's summary of the family: Transfer RNA (tRNA) molecules are approximately 80 nucleotides in length. Their secondary structure includes four short double-helical elements and three loops (D, anti-codon, and T loops). Lineage: Bacteria; Bacillati; Bacillota; Clostridia; Lachnospirales; Lachnospiraceae. RNAcentral also lists the same sequence under 1 other name. The record is from RNAcentral.